RNAcentral lists this ribosomal RNA (253 nucleotides) under uncultured bacterium. Its description in RNAcentral is "partial 16S ribosomal RNA". It matches the Rfam family "Bacterial small subunit ribosomal RNA", at positions 524 to 776 of the family's 1533-position model. The record is from RNAcentral.
UACGUAGGGUCCGAGCGUUGUCCGGAAUUAUUGGGCGUAAAGGGCUCGUAGGCGGUCUGUUGCGUCGGGAGUGAAAACUUACAGCUUAACUGUGAGCGUGCUUCCGAUACGGGCAGACUUGAGGUAUUCAGGGGAGAACGGAAUUCCUGGUGUAGCGGUGAAAUGCGCAGAUAUCAGGAGGAACACCGGUGGCGAAGGCGGUUCUCUGGGCCUGCACUGACGCUCAUGCACGAAAGCGUGGGGAGCAAACGGG